AUUGAGAGUUUGAUCCUGGCUCAGGACGAACGUUGGCGGCGUGUUUAAGGCAUGCAAGUCGAGGGAUCGGCCGUAGCAAUACGGUACGGACCGGCAGACGGGAGAGGAACACAUUGGCAACCUACCUUCGAGACGGGGAUAGCCCCGGGAAACCGGGAUUAAUACCCGAUGGUCAUGGGGGGACAUAAGUCAUUCCCAUGUAAAUCAUUUCUGGCUCGAAGAGGGGCCUAUGCCCUAUCAGCUAGUUGGUGAGGUAAUAGCUCACCAAGGCUACGACGGGUAGGGGACGUGAGAGCGUGACCCCCCUCACUGGGACUGAGAAACUGCCCAGACACCUACGGGUGGCUGCAGUCAAGAAUCUUCCGCAAUGGACGAAAGUCUGACGGAGCGACGCCGCGUGCAGGAUGAAGCCCCUCGGGGUGUAAACUGCUUUUAUAGGGGACGAAUUUGUGACGGUACCCUAUGAAUAAGAGGUUGCUAACUCUGAAAUUUCGCUUAACAAUGGCCAGCAGCAGCGGUAAUACAGAGACCUCAAACGUUGUCCGGAUUCAUUGGGCGUAAAGCGUCCGCAGGUGGCAUGGAAAGUCAGGGGUCAAAGCUUCCGACUUAAUCGGAAAUCUGCUUCUGAUACUUCCAAGCUAGAGGUUGUGAGAGGCACACGGAACUGCCGGUGUAGUAGUAAAAUGCGUUGAUAUCGGCAGGAACACCAAAGGCGAAGGCAGUGUGCUGGAACAAUCCUGACACUCAGGGACGAAAGCGUGGGGAGCGAAUGGGAUUAGAUACCCCAGUAGUCCACGCCCUAAACUAUGUGUACUAGGUAUAUGGAGUAUCGACCCUCCAUGUGCCGUUUAAAAAAGCUAACGCGUUAAGUACACCGCCUGGGGAGUACGGCCGCAAGGUUAAAACUCAAAGGAAUAGACGGGGACCCGCACAAGCGGAGGAUCAUGCGGCCCUUAAGUGGGGUAACGAGCGCAACCCUCGUUGUGUGUUACAUUGGACACACGAGACUGCUCGCGCAAGCGAGAGGAAGGUGGGGACGACGUCAAAUCAGCAUGGCUCUUACGUCCCGGGCGACACGCAUGAUACAAUGGCCAGUACAAAGGGUUGCCAAGCCGCGAGGUGGAGCUAAUCCCAUAAAGCUGGUCUCAGUUCGGAUUGCAGGCUGCAACUCGCCUGCAUGAAGCUGGAUUCGCUAGUAAACGCGCAUCAGCCACGGCGCGUUGAAUACGUUCUCGGGUCUUGUACUCACCGCCCGUCACACCACGAAAGUUGGCAAUGCCCGAAGGCUCUCGUUCGAGGGACGAAGGCAGGGUCAAUGAUCAGGGUGAAGUCGUAACAAGGCAUCCGUAGCGGAAGCUGUGGAUGGAUCACCUCCUU
This 1377-nucleotide ribosomal RNA is filed under the name Candidatus Magasanikbacteria bacterium GW2011_GWA2_56_11. RNAcentral describes it as "bacterial SSU rRNA". It matches the Rfam family "Bacterial small subunit ribosomal RNA". Lineage: Bacteria; Candidatus Magasanikiibacteriota. The record is from RNAcentral.